UCAUGCGUCCAAAGUCCACAGUUGUUUUUCCUAUUUUCACGUAAUCGUUUGGCAAACGAUCAUCCAGGCGCGUGUAUUCGGGCGUCAUUGAGUUAAAUGAAGAGAUGCCGGAUCACUAAUGUCCUGACCCGCUGGGUUACAUCACGUACGCCAAUAUAUAUGGAGCAACUUGUUCGUAUAGACAAAACGUGAACUUUGGAACCUGUUUUGGUGACGCGUUAAAAUAACCGUUAACUGAAGAAAAAUGACUCUUACCAAGAAAAUCCUUUACAAAAUUCCAAUUGAAUGCGCAAGACCUGCGUAAAUAUGCAACGUUGUUGCACCGAUGAAAAAGGUAGUGAUCGCCUUAAUAAUAAGUGUUGACCAUGGACCAGCUAACAAAAGAGAUGAAAGAAAGUCUAGCAUGAGUGGCCUAUAUACUGUAAG
Long non-coding RNA from Acromyrmex echinatior (Panamanian leafcutter ant), 426 nucleotides. NCBI's taxonomy places the organism in Eukaryota, Metazoa, Arthropoda, Insecta, Hymenoptera, Formicidae. The record is from RefSeq and is a predicted model, not a curated record.